RNAcentral lists this long non-coding RNA (309 nucleotides) under Homo sapiens (human). RNAcentral describes it as "non-protein coding lnc-LHFPL6-7:1". Lineage: Eukaryota; Metazoa; Chordata; Mammalia; Primates; Hominidae. The record is from RNAcentral.
UGGUGGAUGGCAAGGAGGCUGCUCCCGGGGAGGUGCUUGUUUCAGGAAUACACAGGCAGCUGACUUCGCAGAGCAGCCUAGCCCCUGAGGUCUUCUUGGAGUUCAUCCUUCACCAUCUACCCAUUGACCACAACCGGCUGCCUGAAUGAGCUGCUGUCCCUCUCUGUGGUCUGUGCCCACCAUCUCCUCCUGGGCUUCAGUUACAAUAAAGGCCUUUCAGACAAAGUGAUGGAACUGGCUGGUGGGGUUGAAGUGGAAGGCCUGCCACAGUUUACUACCAGAAGUGAUUCAAUGAAUGAGUAGAGCUAA